This is a long non-coding RNA of Triticum aestivum (bread wheat), 1645 nucleotides long. RefSeq lists it as uncharacterized. The record is from RefSeq and is a predicted model, not a curated record. NCBI's taxonomy places the organism in Eukaryota, Viridiplantae, Streptophyta, Magnoliopsida, Poales, Poaceae. The transcript has 3 exons.
CUCAGAAAAAAAACCUCUCCCCACCCACUCUCUCCCCCUCCAAACCACUCACUCUAUCCCCCUCCUCCGCCCACCGCGCCGCCAACCACAUGCGUCUCCCAACUACGCCGCCGCCGCCGCUAUCGCCGCCCUCCUGCGCUGCUGCCUAGGCGUCGUGGUCUGCCACUCGCCGCCGCUGGACGGCUGGAGAUUGUCGGCACCCAAGUGCCGCCCAUGCUCUGGCGCUUGCACGCCGCCGGCCCUGCCCCAUCCCACUCUCCGCCACCACCUUCCCCACCCCGAGCUCAGAUUUACGACGCCCACUGCCUUCCAGUUCGAGCUCCGCCUCGACCUCAUCCCUGCUGCCACUGUCUUCCCUGAACCAAGGAAGCCCUCAUCUGAUACGCUCUCAUCCGCGACGUGCUUCUCCAAUCAUUGGUACGCGACGGUGGUUUGGUCCGGAAGGUGGCUCCUGCAAUCCUGGCGUCGCCGUAGCGGUGGUUCCAUUCCGGCGGCAUUAGGGGAGCACACAGCGUCCACGUGCAGCAAGCAGAGCCGGCCAAUGAUUUAGCAGCGCCGGCCAUGAGGAGACGCCUGCCGUGGUUGACGCGAAGACAACAGCCGUGGGCAUGGAAGACGGUUUUGGAUCUUGUGAGCCGCCGCCGCUGCCGUACAGAAAGUCAACGUCGGCCUUCUACUGCUCCAUGUCCAACAAGUCGCCCAUGAGGCGUCAGUGUGGCAUUGCUAGCUCCAGCUUCCCCCUGCAAUCAUCUCUGCCGCCGGCACUUGCACGCAAUCAUGCUGGUUUCUGUAGUUCAAGAUCAAAGGCAAGAAUCAGCCAAAUAUGAUGAUGAGAACAACGCUAAUGAUGGAGAACCUUUAUCUAUCGAAGCUGAGAAGUCUAUUGGGAAUACUAAAUUUCAAUGCGCAUCCUAAGUUUCAGUUACCUGAAAUCAAGGCCAGUUUCAUUCGAUGCCGAAGUAAACUACCACAUACGUGAUGACCAUGAGAAAAUCCAUGCACUUCAAUUGGACAUGAGUUUUCUGCCACGUAAUUAAUGAUGCACUUCAUGUGAUAGAACUGUAAGAUCAGUACUUCUAUCUACUCUAUUCAUCACAUCUACACUUCUGUUUAUUCAUUCUAUGAGCUCUCUAUUUAAGAGAAACAACAGAGACUACUGUUUAAGAAUAAUAGUCUUUUCAAUUAAAUGCUGAAGUAUGUGUUUCCUGCAUGCACCCACAAGUUAUUCAAGAAAAACUAAUUAAUGCCUUAAACUUAAAAGUAUCUCAUGGCCACAACAAACAGUUCACUCAAAAUUAAAACAGGAACUACUUUAUACCGGUCCGUGGCUCUGGCUAGACCAUUUUAAGCAGCACGGAGGUACGCGUCUCCAGAAUUGAAGGCAUCAAAUGCCUCUGGUGAGAAGCAAGCAUCACGGAGUACGGCCCAGCGACGCCUAUGAUUCAUGGCACUCUCCACUUCUGAAUUUGUAACGGAUAGUCUAUCCGCAUCCUCUGUAGGGGGAGUAUCCAGCGUCCGCCCCAUGUCAGCUUCCGCCCCUAUGUCCGGUCCUGGAGCCCGACUGGUGGAAGCAUGAUUGGCAGCCUCACCGGACAUAUUCCGGCGAGCGUUUUUUCUACUAAAGAAACAUGGACGUCAUUACAUU